RNAcentral lists this long non-coding RNA (287 nucleotides) under Setaria viridis. RNAcentral's name for it is "long non-coding RNA (SVIR_LNC007332)". Lineage: Eukaryota; Viridiplantae; Streptophyta; Magnoliopsida; Poales; Poaceae. The record is from RNAcentral.
UCAAGGCAUGGGUACUAAUUGCAAGUUAUGUGUCAAUGGAAGAAGUCGGAUAAAGCAUACCUCUGCAUAAGCACCGAUACGGUGGUGCAUCUCCAUCAUUCCAGCGACCAUAUCCACGUCCAGUAGAGGAUCAUCGAUCAGUUGGAUAUCUUCAAGACAAUUUUUCCCAGAUGAUAGAGGAUUCGCACGAGCUUCAGAAUCAACCACGUCAAGAUUGGUCAAAGGACCUAGCUCGGAAGACGCGUUGGCAACUAUGAAUUCCAAAACUGUCACCGCUUCAAUCUCCG